This 286-nucleotide long non-coding RNA is filed under the name Homo sapiens (human). RNAcentral's name for it is "HSALNT0020418". The record is from RNAcentral. Lineage: Eukaryota; Metazoa; Chordata; Mammalia; Primates; Hominidae.
GCGCUGGCGUCAAGUUGUGCUCUGCAACCCAAGAGCCAGGAUUUCCACUCCCCACUUGGCAGUGGUCUCUGGAAGAAUUUUCCUAAAGGCUCCACCCAAAAGAAACCAUGAGUUGGCCAGCUCCUCGUUUGCAUUUGGUUUGCAUAGUACCAACGAUCACUAAUCUCAAAGUAUAUUUUCCUAAAAACGUGAAUCGUGUUUUCCUCCACUGCCCUCAUUUCUUCUUUCUUUCUCGACAGACUAUGAAGAUUAACACCUGGUCCUCAGCCUCUCAAGUAAAACCAUG